UCAUAGAAGGUCAAAAGAAAUAUCAGAAACCAUAUAUUCACCUGAAAAGCCCAAAUACUUGGUCUUGUACCGCUGAAUCCUUUGCUGCACAGUGUAUUUUCUACGUCAAAAGACUCUGAUGGGACAUGAAAAGACAUGCAUCCUCUUGGAAUCUUAGCCCCAGCAUCUUGAAGCUUCUGAAGUGCUCCUCUAAAUACUUUGUCGGGGCAUAUGUCAAAUACUAAAGUUGAUUUUGGCCAGUUGAGCCUGUAAGGUCGCGUAUCCAGUCCAUCUGUUAACAAAACAACCUGUUUCAGUCCAUCAGUAGACUGCAUUGUUUCAAGCAACUUGUCAUCAAUAAACUUAGUUGCAAGACAGUAUGGGUGCAGCUGUUGAUCCAUGUCUUCG
This 387-nucleotide unclassified non-coding RNA is filed under the name Hevea brasiliensis (rubber tree). Lineage: Eukaryota; Viridiplantae; Streptophyta; Magnoliopsida; Malpighiales; Euphorbiaceae. The record is from RNAcentral.